UCCUGGUUAGCUCAGUUGGUAGAGCGCUCCACUAGAAACGGAGAGUUCCCUGGAUCGAUGCCAGGACGAGGCG
Molecule: non-coding RNA, 73 nt
Organism: Ixodes scapularis (black-legged tick)
Lineage: Eukaryota; Metazoa; Arthropoda; Arachnida; Ixodida; Ixodidae
Source: Rfam